RNAcentral lists this ribosomal RNA (356 nucleotides) under Listeria monocytogenes. RNAcentral's name for it is "bacterial LSU rRNA". It matches the Rfam family "Bacterial large subunit ribosomal RNA", at positions 1850 to 2205 of the family's 2925-position model. The record is from RNAcentral. Lineage: Bacteria; Bacillati; Bacillota; Bacilli; Caryophanales; Listeriaceae.
GGGUGGCGCCCGCCCGGGGCUGGAAGGUUAAGAGGGGGGCUUAGCUUCGGCGAAGGUACGAAUUGAAGCCCCAGUAAACGGCGGCCGUAACUAUAACGGUCCUAAGGUAGCGAAAUUCCUUGUCGGGGAAGUUCCGACCCGCACGAAAGGCGCAACGAUCUGGGCACUGUCUCAACGAGAGACUCGGUGAAAUUAUAGUACCUGUGAAGAUGCAGGUUACCCGCGACAGGACGGAAAGACCCCGUGGAGCUUUACUGCAACCUGAUAUGGAAUGUUUGUACCGCUUGUACAGGAUAGGUAGGAGCCGAAGAGACGUGUGCGCUAGCAUACGAGGAGGCAAUGGUGGGAUACUACCC